GACGAACGCUGGCGGCGUGCCUAAUACAUGCAAGUAGAACGCCGAAGGAGGAGCUUGCUUCUCUGGAUGAGUUGCGAACGGGUGAGUAACGCGUAGGUAACCUACCUGGUAGCGGGGGAUAACUAUUGAAACGAUAGCUAAUACCGCAUAAGAGUAGAUGUCGCAUGACAUUUGCUUGAAAGGUGCAAUUGCAUCACUACCAGAUGGACCUGCGUUGUAUUAGCUAGUUGGUGAGGUAACGGCUCACCAAGGCAACGAUACAUAGCCGACCUGAGAGGGUGAUCGGCCACACUGGGACUGAGACACGGCCCAGACUCCUACGGGAGGCAGCAGUAGGGAAUCUUCGGCAAUGGACGGAAGUCUGACCGAGCAACGCCGCGUGAGUGAAGAAGGUUUUCGGAUCGUAAAGCUCUGUUGUAAGAGAAGAACGAGUGUGAGAAGUGGAAAGUCCCACACUGUGACGGAUCUU
This 469-nucleotide ribosomal RNA is filed under the name Streptococcus mitis. RNAcentral describes it as "bacterial SSU rRNA". It matches the Rfam family "Bacterial small subunit ribosomal RNA", at positions 28 to 481 of the family's 1533-position model. Lineage: Bacteria; Bacillati; Bacillota; Bacilli; Lactobacillales; Streptococcaceae. The record is from RNAcentral.